Molecule: ribosomal RNA, 762 nt
Filed under: Triticum aestivum (bread wheat)
Lineage: Eukaryota; Viridiplantae; Streptophyta; Magnoliopsida; Poales; Poaceae
Description: partial small subunit ribosomal RNA
Source: RNAcentral
AUGAGGCUAAUAGUGUGGAAUUGCCGGGGGUUGGGGAACGGCCCGGCGAUUCAAGGUCUUCUAGAUCUCCAGAAGGAGGACCCUGACGUUAUGUUUUUGUCGGAAACAAAGAUGGAGCAGCGCAGGUUGGAGUGGCUUCGGUGGAAGAUGAACAUGACUUGUAUGAUCGUAAAAAAUUGGGAGGGACGGUGUGGGGGCCUAGCUUUGUUUUGGAAGAAGGAAGUAAACCUAAGGGUCGUCGGCUUCAUGUCCAAGUACCAUAUUGACUCAGAGAUAUUAGAGGAUGAUGGGUUUAAAUGGAGGUUCACAGGUAUCUAUGGAGAGCCAAAGCUGGAAGAGAAGGAAAAAACAUGGAGACUGCUAAGGAACCUCAAACACCAAAACAACAAACCCUGGCUGUGCGCUAGAGAUUUUAAUGAGGUUCUGCAUAAUUGGGAGAAAGAAGGGGGAGUGCCCGGAAGUCAAAGAUACAUGGACCGAUUUAAGUCAGCAUUGGAAGAUUGUGAGAUGGGUGAUCUGGGGUUUGCCGGUGAUGCUUUUACAUGGAGAAAUAACAGCCACACAACAUCAGACUAUAUCAAGGAGCGGCUUGAUAGAGCGGUGGCCACUCAGUCCUGGUGCCAUCGUUUUAUGGCCUAUCGGGUUAAUAACGGUGAUCCCCGCCAUUCGGACCAUAGACCAGUGAUAAUUGAUACGAUGGGUGCAGCAGCUGGAAGGAGGAGCUCUAGUAUGAAUGGUGUGCCUCGGUUUGAAGCAGGCUAG